RNAcentral lists this ribosomal RNA (484 nucleotides) under uncultured bacterium. RNAcentral's name for it is "partial 16S ribosomal RNA". It matches the Rfam family "Bacterial small subunit ribosomal RNA", at positions 29 to 507 of the family's 1533-position model. The record is from RNAcentral.
AUUGAACGCUAGCGGGAUGCUUUACACAUGCAAGUCGAACGGCAGCGCGGACUUCGGUCUGGCGGCGAGUGGCGAACGGGGGAGUAAUGAAUCGGAACGUGCCCAGGAGCGGGGGAUAACUACGCGAAAGCGUAGCUAAUACCGCAUACGCCCUACGGGGGAAAGCAGGGGAUCGUAAGACGUUACACUAUUGGAGCAGCCGAUAUCGGAUUAGCUAGUUGGUGAGGUAACGGCUCACCAAGGCGACGAUCCGUAGCUGGUUUGAGAGGACGACCAGCCACACUGGGACUGAGCCACGGCCCAGACUCCUACGGGAGGCCGCAGUGGGGAAUUUUGGACAAUGGGGGCAACCCUGAUCCAGCCAUCCCGCGUGUGCGAUGAAGGCCUUCGGGUUGUAAAGCACUUUUGGCAGGAAAGAAACGUCGCGGGCUAAUACCCCGUGGAACUGACGGUACCUGCAGAAUAAGCACCGGCUAACUACGUG